GAUGAAGAACGUAGCGAAAUGCGAUAAGUAAUGUGAAUUGCAGAAUUCAGUGAAUCAUCGAAUCUUUGAACGCAUCUUGCGCUCCUUGGUAUUCUGAGGAGCAUGCCUGUUUGAGUGUCAUUAAAUUCUCAACUACACUGACUUUGAAUUGGUGUGGCUUGGAUUUGGGGGGAAAAUUGUUGUGGGCUUUUUGUAUAGUCUGCUCCCCUGAAAUUGAUUAGCGGUACCUUUGUGGAACUGUCUACAGGUGUGAUAAUUAUCUACAUCUUAGACAUCUGCUGGAAUGCUGCUUUCUAAAACUUACUUGUAUUGACAAUCUUGACCUCAAAUCAGGUAGGACUACCCGCUGAACUUAAGCAUAUCAAUAAGCGGAGGA
RNAcentral lists this unclassified non-coding RNA (376 nucleotides) under soil metagenome. Its description in RNAcentral is "partial contains 5.8S ribosomal RNA, internal transcribed spacer 2, and large subunit ribosomal RNA". The stretch from base 1 to 120 matches the Rfam family "5.8S ribosomal RNA", at positions 35 to 154 of the family's 154-position model. The record is from RNAcentral.